Molecule: long non-coding RNA, 333 nt
Organism: Amphimedon queenslandica
Lineage: Eukaryota; Metazoa; Porifera; Demospongiae; Haplosclerida; Niphatidae
Exons: 3
Source: RefSeq, a predicted model, not a curated record
GGCCAUUGGUUUUGAAUAAGUGUGAAUCAUUGGUUUUCAUGUAUAAACAUGUCUCUUUUCUUCCUUAUCCUAUAGAUUCUUCAUCUUCAACGCUAACAAUUGUAACUCCUGUUGUAUUGGUGCUAGUACUCUGUGUUUGUAUUAUCAUAGUAUUUGUGAUUGUGAUAAUUGUUAGAAGGAACAGAAAGAAGAAACUUGUAAAUUUGGACUUGCGUUAUGUUGACAAUUUGUCCUUAUUAGACAACCCCAGAAUUCCUCUGGAUUUGAAUUUAGCUUGUCAAAAAGGGCAUCAUCAAAAAGAAGAGACAUCUACAGAUGACACUGUUAUGAAGC